GAUGAACGCUGGCGGCGUGCCUAAUACAUGCAAGUCGAGCGAACAGACGAGGAGCUUGCUCCUUUGACGUUAGCGGCGGACGGGUGAGUAACACGUAGGUAACCUACCUAUAAGACUGGGAUAACUUCGGGAAACCGGAGCUAAUACCGGAUAAUAUUUCGAACCGCAUGGUUCGAUAGUGAAAGAUGGCUUUGCUAUCACUUAUAGAUGGACCUGCGCCGUAUUAGCUAGUUGGUAAGGUAACGGCUUACCAAGGCAACGAUACGUAGCCGACCUGAGAGGGUGAUCGGCCACACUGGAACUGAGACACGGUCCAGACUCCUACGGGAGGCAGCAGUAGGGAAUCUUCCGCAAUAGGCGAAAGCCUGACGGAGCAACGCCGCGUGAGUGAUGAAGGUCUUCGGAUCGUAAAACUCUGUUAUUAGGGAAGAACAAACGUGUAAGUAACUGUGCACGUCUUGACGGUACCUAAUCAGAAAGCCACGGCUAACUACGUG
RNAcentral lists this ribosomal RNA (497 nucleotides) under uncultured bacterium. Its description in RNAcentral is "partial 16S ribosomal RNA". It matches the Rfam family "Bacterial small subunit ribosomal RNA", at positions 28 to 507 of the family's 1533-position model. The record is from RNAcentral.